Populus trichocarpa (black cottonwood) is the source of this 2607-nucleotide long non-coding RNA. RefSeq lists it as uncharacterized. Lineage: Eukaryota; Viridiplantae; Streptophyta; Magnoliopsida; Malpighiales; Salicaceae. The transcript is spliced from 2 exons. The record is from RefSeq and is a predicted model, not a curated record.
UGACAUUAUCUAAUGUCGAUUAGAUUUAGGGUUAAAUUGAUAAAAUCAAAAGAUUUGGAUUAAACUGAUAAUGAGGUUUUUAGGUAAUACGCCGCGAGUUAAACCACACUAUUCAAUAGCUGGGCAAACUGGGCCGGGUCAAAGAGGCCCGCCACCUGUUCGACUCAAUUCUUGCUAUCUGGGUACGCGAAAGCUGGAUUGAUUAAUGGAGCGAACACUAUAUCUUAAACAAUUUCGGAGCGUAAUGUUGUUAGUGGGAGCGCAAUGUUAACUGCGUUUCUGCAGACCGGUGCUAUAAAGAAUGAUAGGAAGUUGUUUGAUGAAAUUCCGGACAGAAAUGUUUCAUCAUGGAAUUCGAUUAUAACAGGGUAUUGUGGAAGUGGGCUGAUGAGGGAAGCGAGGUAUUUGUUUGAUAGGAUUGGGGGAUUGAAGAAUCUUGUUUCUUCGAUGGUUGUGAUUUCUUGGAAUGCCCAUCAGGCUUUAGACUACACAAAAGGGGCUUGUUCCCAUGUCACCAAGUGAAAUUAUCAGCUAAACCAGCCAACAUCCACUUUGUUCUGUAUUUCUUGUUGUUGCAUUACAUGCUGAGUUCUGCAACUGGUUAAAGUUUGUUUCCUACGGUCCUUUUAUAUUAUUCUAUUUCGGCAACUGUUAUUGGAUAGUGAAUGAUGGGUACCAUCAUGACUUAUGGUAAACAUGUUUAAUCAGCAUAUAAGAUUAGAGGUUGUGGUUAUAUAAUCCCAUGUGCGGGCUGUGCUCACUAUUUCCUUUCUUCGUGUGUUUUCAGUGUGGGGGGUAAAAAUUGGUAUGAAGAAGAAGAUCCUGGGUGGUAGAAGCUUUAACUGUCAGAAUUGCUUUCCUAGCUUUCUUGUCAGAUUUUGAUCACCCUAUAGGUUGGAAUUGCUCAAAAGCCAUUAUAUGAAAAGCUCUUCCUAGUUUGCUAGUAUUGACAUUGAAAAUUCAUAAGAAGAAGAUCCUGGGUGGUGGAAGCUUUAAUUGUCAGAAUUGCUUCCCUAGCUUUCUUGUCAGAUUUUGAUCACCCUAUAGGCUGGAAUUGCUCAAAAGCCAUUAUAUGAAAAGCUCUUCCUGGUUUGCUAGUAUUGACAUUGAAGAUUCAUAAGAAGAAGAAGAAGAUCCUGGGUGGUAGAAGCUUUAACUGUCAGAAUUGCUUUCCUAGCUUUCUUGUCAGAUUUUGAUCACCCUAUAGGUUGGAAUUGCUCAAAAACCAUUAUAUGAAAAGCUCUUCCUGGUUUGCUAGUAUUGACAUUGACAGUUCAUAAAAGUCAUCUCAAUCUAAUGAAACUUUAGUUAUGCUCAAAAGUUUAGAAAUACGUAGAUUUGACCACUCAUAGAUGAACUUAAGUUCACACAAGGAUCUGCUUGCAAUGCAACGGUUUCUAUAGAGUUCAUUCCAUGCAGUCAUGCACACUGUAGAUUUCAUUUGCUCGCUUAAACAGUUAGAAAUAAACCUUUUAUCCCCUUUUGUUUUUCAUUUCUGUCCAUUCUCAGUACGAAAGAGCUGAGAAUUUUGCUCGGAUGAUGCCAAUGAUUCAAGGCAAGAAUGUUACCAUUUAUCAAAGGCCAAGCUUGUCCAGGCAAUUGGCUUGCCUCUGGCCAGUUACCAUUUUCCAGUAAGUCCUGUACACAGUACAGAAAUAGGGGAUGGGCUGUAAGCAAGUUAUCUCUUUCACAGUGACAUUUCUUGUGCUGCUCAUGUAACUGUCCCAAAUGCUUGUUACAGAGGUGUUUAGUAGUGCAGAUAUGCAUGGAUAGGAAUAUUCGCUAGUUAUUAGCAAAGGUGUCUCUCUCCCUGUAGCCAGUAGGUAACCUUUACCUAUUCAACAUCCUUAAAAUGUACACAGCUCAUCACUGGCGGUAUGUUAUAAUGUAGUAUUAUUAAUAGAACAGACACAUUUAUUCAAACUCUCUUGUUUUUCAAUUUUUUUGGCUUUGUGCUACACUAUAUGCUCAUGAUUUCUUUUCAUCGUUCGUUGCUGCUGAUUAUUGUUGUUUGUGAGUGAAACACAGGAUUUUAUGGAGGAACUCUUGGUUCGCUUGUUUCGACAAGUGCUGCGCUGUCUCAUAUUGCUCAAGAAAAUUGUUGUGCGGCAUUCUCUGCAAAUCAACUAGUUUCUUGGCCUAUAUUUAGCAACUGAGGAUGCUCUUGUUGUUGCUACUUGCUAGAAAAUGUAUGUGUUGUUUUGAAGCGUGUGCGGUGUGCUUGCAAAUAAAGAUGAAUAAUAAAGGCCCAAUUUUACAACUUUCUCGGAAUACAGGGAAGAUAAAAUUGGUCCUCGAGAUGUAGAAUCUUCUUACAGAAAUACAAGUAAAAUGAAGUCAUAAAUAUGCUCUUUGAUGAGAGGAGUUUACCUUUGUAAAGGGUUAGGUUUGAGCAAUACAUCAGUAUAGUGUCUCUACUUUUGGUUCUACGGGUCCUGCUGCUGCUGCUGCUGCUGCUGCUGCAAAUAUCAGGAUGAAGGUUCGCGCAAAUUCUGCUCCAACCUGAGUGUGUGUCUAAUGGCAAUUUAUAAGUAAAUUGUGAUGGUGUUGGACUAAGUUUUAAACUCAAAGAAGCAAGGAAAAUAGUAAAUCACAUUAACCAUCAAA